This 254-nucleotide ribosomal RNA is filed under the name uncultured bacterium. RNAcentral describes it as "partial 16S ribosomal RNA". It matches the Rfam family "Bacterial small subunit ribosomal RNA", at positions 524 to 776 of the family's 1533-position model. The record is from RNAcentral.
UACGGAGGGGGCAAGCGUUGUUCGGAUUUACUGGGCGUAAAGGGUGCGUAGGUGGUUGUGUAAGUCUGGUGUGAAAGCCUCACCGCUCAACGGGAGGAUGUCACUGGAAACUGCAUAACUUGAGUAUGGUAGAGGCAAGCGGAAUUCCUGGUGUAGCGGUGGAAUGUGUAGAUAUCAGGAAGAACACCGGUGGCGAAGGCGGCUUGCUGGGCCAUUACUGACACUGAGGCACGAAAGCGUGGGGAGCGAACGGG